GAUUAAAUGGCUGAAAUUAGGCAAUAGACUGUAAAUUUAUUUAUAAGAUUUAAAAUUCUUUUUAAUCA
Molecule: transfer RNA, 68 nt
Filed under: Clusiodes albimanus
Lineage: Eukaryota; Metazoa; Arthropoda; Insecta; Diptera; Clusiidae
Description: tRNA-Tyr
Rfam family: tRNA
About the family: Transfer RNA (tRNA) molecules are approximately 80 nucleotides in length.
Source: RNAcentral